CAGCCGCCACGGGAAUACGAAGGGGGCUAGCGUUGCUCGGAAUGACUGGGCGUAAAGGGCGCGUAGGCGGCGAUCAAAGUCAGGCGUGAAAUUCCUGGGCUCAACCUGGGGGCUGCGUUUGAUACUUGAUUGCUAGAGUGGGGAAGAGGGUCGUGGAAUUCCCAGUGUAGAGGUGAAAUUCGUAGAUAUUGGGAAGAACACCGGUGGCGAAGGCGGCGACCUGGUCCUUGACUGACGCUGAGGCGCGAAAGCGUGGGGAGCAAACAGGAUUAGAUACCCGCGUAGUCCCUGUCUCUUAUAC
RNAcentral lists this ribosomal RNA (301 nucleotides) under uncultured bacterium. RNAcentral describes it as "partial 16S ribosomal RNA". It matches the Rfam family "Bacterial small subunit ribosomal RNA", at positions 509 to 807 of the family's 1533-position model. The record is from RNAcentral.